RNAcentral lists this ribosomal RNA (253 nucleotides) under uncultured bacterium. RNAcentral's name for it is "partial 16S ribosomal RNA". It matches the Rfam family "Bacterial small subunit ribosomal RNA", at positions 524 to 776 of the family's 1533-position model. The record is from RNAcentral.
UACAGAGGUGGCAAGCGUUGUUCGGAAUUACUGGGCGUAAAGGGCGCGUAGGCGGUCUCGUAAGUCCUGUGUGAAAUCCCCCGGCUCAACUGGGGAACUGCACAGGAGACUGCUUGGCUUGAGUUCGGGAGAGGGAAGCGGAAUUCCGGGUGUAGCGGUGAAAUGCGUAGAUAUCCGGAGGAACACCGGUGGCGAAGGCGGCUUCCUGGACCGACCCUGACGCUGAGGCGCGAAGGCGUGGGGAGCGAACGGG